This 67-nucleotide transfer RNA is filed under the name Quasipaa jiulongensis (Jiulong spiny frog). Its description in RNAcentral is "tRNA-Asn". Lineage: Eukaryota; Metazoa; Chordata; Amphibia; Anura; Dicroglossidae. The record is from RNAcentral.
CGGAAUGAAGUUCCCUGGAUUGAGUAUUUAGUUGUUAAUAAAUAUUGCGGAUAUAUGGUCCGCUUAG